AGAGUUUGAUCAUGGCUCAGAUUGAACGCUGGCGGCAGGCCUAACACAUGCAAGUCGAACGGUAACAGGAAGAAGCUUGCUUCUUUGCUGACGAGUGGCGGACGGGUGAGUAAUGUCUGGGAAACUGCCUGAUGGAGGGGGAUAACUACUGGAAACGGUAGCUAAUACCGCAUAACGUCGCAAGACCAAAGAGGGGGACCUUCGGGCCUCUUGCCAUCGGAUGUGCCCAGAUGGGAUUAGCUAGUAGGUGGGGUAACGGCUCACCUAGGCGACGAUCCCUAGCUGGUCUGAGAGGAUGACCAGCCACACUGGAACUGAGACACGGUCCAGACUCCUACGGGAGGCAGCAGUGGGGAAUAUUGCACAAUGGGCGCAAGCCUGAUGCAGCCAUGCCGCGUGUAUGAAGAAGGCCUUCGGGUUGUAAAGUACUUUCAGCGGGGAGGAAGGGAGUAAAGUUAAUACCUUUGCUCAUUGACGUUACCCGCAGAAGAAGCACCGGCUAACUCCGUGCCAGCAGCCGCGGUAAUACGGAGGGUGCAAGCGUUAAUCGGAAUUACUGGGCGUAAAGCGCACGCAGGCGGUUUGUUAAGUCAGAUGUGAAAUCCCCGGGCUCAACCUGGGAACUGCAUCUGAUACUGGCAAGCUUGAGUCUCGUAGAGGGGGGUAGAAUUCCAGGUGUAGCGGUGAAAUGCGUAGAGAUCUGGAGGAAUACCGGUGGCGAAGGCGGCCCCCUGGACGAAGACUGACGCUCAGGUGCGAAAGCGUGGGGAGCAAACAGGAUUAGGUACCCUGGUAGUCCACGCCGUAAACGAUGUCGACUUGGAGGUUGUGCCCUUGAGGCGUGGCUUCCGGAGCUAACGCGUUAAGUCGACCGCCUGGGGAGUACGGCCGCAAGGUUAAAACUCAAAUGAAUUGACGGGGGCCCGCACAAGCGGUGGAGCAUGUGGUUUAAUUCGAUGCAACGCGAAGAACCUUACCUGGUCUUGACAUCCACAGAACUUUCCAGAGAUGGAUUGGUGCCUUCGGGAACUGUGAGACAGGUGCUGCAUGGCUGUCGUCAGCUCGUGUUGUGAAAUGUUGGGUUAAGUCCCGCAACGAGCGCAACCCUUAUCUUUUGUUGCCAGCGGUCCGGCCGGGAACUCAAAGGAGACUGCCAGUGAUAAACUGGAGGAAGGUGGGGAUGACGUCAAGUCAUCAUGGCCCUUACGACCAGGGCUACACACGUGCUACAAUGGCGCAUACAAAGAGAAGCGACCUCGCGAGAGCAAGCGGACCUCAUAAAGUGCGUCGUAGUCCGGAUUGGAGUCUGCAACUCGACUCCAUGAAGUCGGAAUCGCUAGUAAUCGUGGAUCAGAAUGCCACGGUGAAUACGUUCCCGGGCCUUGUACACACCGCCCGUCACACCAUGGGAGUGGGUUGCAAAAGAAGUAGGUAGCUUAACCUUCGGGAGGGCGCUUACCACUUUGUGAUUCAUGACUGGGGUGAAGUCGUAACAAGGUAACCGUAGGGGAACCUGCGGUUG
Molecule: ribosomal RNA, 1522 nt
Filed under: metagenome
Description: bacterial SSU rRNA
Rfam family: Bacterial small subunit ribosomal RNA
Source: RNAcentral